AGCGAACGCUGGCGGCAGGCCUAACACAUGCAAGUCGAACGAACCUCUCGGGGUUAGUGGCGGACGGGUGAGUAACACGUGGGAACGUGCCUUUAGGUUCGGAAUAACUCAGGGAAACUUGUGCUAAUACCGAAUGUGCCCUUCGGGGGAAAGAUUUAUCGCCUUUAGAGCGGCCCGCGUCUGAUUAGCUAGUUGGUUGAGGUAAUGGCUCACCAAGGCGACGAUCAGUAGCUGGUCUGAGAGGAUGAUCAGCCACAUUGGGACUGAGACACGGCCCAAACUCCUACGGGAGGCAGCAGUGGGGAAUCUUGCGCAAUGGGCGAAAGCCUGACGCAGCCAUGCCGCGUGAAUGAUGAAGGUCUUAGGAUUGGAAAAUUCUUUCACCGGGGACGAUAAUGACGGUACCCGGAGAAGAAGCCCCGGCUAACUUCGUGC
This 435-nucleotide ribosomal RNA is filed under the name uncultured bacterium. Its description in RNAcentral is "partial 16S ribosomal RNA". It matches the Rfam family "Bacterial small subunit ribosomal RNA", at positions 29 to 508 of the family's 1533-position model. The record is from RNAcentral.